AGAGUUUGAUCCUGGCUCAGGAUGAACGCUGGCGGCGUGCUUAACACAUGCAAGUCGAACGAAGCACUUUGGACAGAUUCUUCGGAUGAAGUCCAUGGUGACUGAGUGGCGGACGGGUGAGUAACGCGUGGGUAACCUGCCUCAUACAGGGGGAUAACAGUUAGAAAUGGCUGCUAAUACCGCAUAAGCGCACGGUACCGCAUGGUACAGUGUGAAAAACUCCGGUGGUAUGAGAUGGACCCGCGUCUGAUUAGCCAGUUGGCAGGGUAACGGCCUACCAAAGCGACGAUCAGUAGCCGACCUGAGAGGGUGACCGGCCACAUUGGGACUGAGACACGGCCCAAACUCCUACGGGAGGCAGCAGUGGGGAAUAUUGCACAAUGGGGGAAACCCUGAUGCGGCGACGCCGCGUGAGCGAAGAAGUAUUUCGGUAUGUAAAGCUCUAUCAGCAGGGAAGAAGAAUGACGGUACCUGACUAAGAAGCACCGGCUAAAUACGUGCCAGCAGCCGCGGUAAUACGUAUGGUGCAAGCGUUAUCCGGAUUUACUGGGUGUAAAGGGAGCGCAGGCGGUGCGGCAAGUCUGAUGUGAAAGCCCGGGGCUCAACCCCGGUACUGCAUUGGAAACUGUCGUACUAGAGUGUCGGAGGGGUAAGUGGAAUUCCUAGUGUAGCGGUGAAAUGCGUAGAUAUUAGGAGGAACACCAGUGGCGAAGGCGGCUUACUGGACGAUAACUGACGCUGAGGCUCGAAAGCGUGGGGAGCAAACAGGAUUAGAUACCCUGGUAGUCCACGCCGUAAACGAUGAA
RNAcentral lists this ribosomal RNA (806 nucleotides) under uncultured bacterium. Its description in RNAcentral is "bacterial SSU rRNA". It matches the Rfam family "Bacterial small subunit ribosomal RNA", at positions 8 to 813 of the family's 1533-position model. The record is from RNAcentral.